RNAcentral lists this unclassified non-coding RNA (1699 nucleotides) under Limulus polyphemus (Atlantic horseshoe crab). RNAcentral's name for it is "cytochrome P450 2U1-like, transcript variant X2". Lineage: Eukaryota; Metazoa; Arthropoda; Merostomata; Xiphosura; Limulidae. The record is from RNAcentral.
AAGCCACAAGCUUAACUGAUUUCACGUUGUCCUUCUCCCAAGAUGAUCAGUGGGGUGCAAGAAUAUAUCAGUUUUCCGAUAUUUAUUAUUACUGUUGUAGUCGGUCUUUUGAUUCUCCAUUUGUUGAAAAGCAGGCCCACAAACAUACCGCCUGGUCCCGUAGGAUUACCCUUUGUAGGAUACUUACCAUUUUUGGGUUCUGAGCCUCAUCUUACCCUAAGAAACUUAGCUGAGAAAUAUGGGGACAUACUAAGCUUCUCUAUUUGUGGAAAAACUGUUGUUUAUUUGAACAACUACGAAGUUAUUCGUGAAGCGUUUCUUAAACGAGGGGAUGAGUUUGCAGGGAGACCUCAAUAUCCAAGCUUUUUUAGAUGGCUAACGGACGGCACAGGUAUCAUUCAGGACGAAGGGAGACAAUGGCAGGAACACAGGCGUUUUGCUCUCCAUACUCUCCGAGAUUUCGGCUUUGGUAAGUUAAGUUUGGAAGGCCGUGUUCAGGAGAUUACCAAGGACAUCCUCAAUACCUUGAAGGAGACAAAGGCGAUGCCCUACGACGUGUCCACCCUAUUGGCUAACAGUACAGCUAAUGUAAUAAGUAGUCUUAUGUUUGAUAAGCAUUAUGACUACCAAAAUCCAGAGUUUCUACAACUUCGGAAUUUAACGCAGACGUUUCUUUACGCUAUACCUGGACUCGGUUCAUUCAUACCAAGGACUUAUAUGAACUAUUUGCCAUCAAUUCUGCUGCCCACUUUUAAAACGAUAAACGGAGUUAAGAAGGAGUUUCACGAAUUUGUCGAAAAAAUCAUCCGAGAACACGAAUCAACGUAUCAAGAGGCAAACCUUCGAGAUUAUGUAGACGUAUACCUGGAACAGAAAUACCGAGCAGAAAGGGAAGAAAGGAUAGAUGAGAGCACAUUCACGUUGAAACGCUUAGCAGCCAUUAGUUUGAACAUGUUCCUUGCUGGUACUGAGACUACGUCCAACACCCUCUACUGGGGAAUGAAGUUAAUGACCUUCCACCCAGGAAUACAGGACCGUGUGUAUAAAGAGAUUGUAGAAGUUGUGGGAAAGGAGAGACUUCCUUCCAUGGUUGACCGCAAUAACAUGCCUUACACAGAGGCUACAAUAAUGGAAAUUCAACGAUUUGCUAACAUUGUACCCUUGGGGAUUGCCCAUUCAAAUCCAGAACAAACAACACUACGUGGCUACACAAUUCCAAAGAGGUGCGUUCUGUUGGCGAAUUUGUGGAACGUCCAUAGAGACCCCAAGUACUGGCCAGAACCAGAAAAGUUCGAUCCAUCCAGGUUUCUGAGUUCAGACGGCAAGGUAGUGAAGAGGGAAAGUUUCAUACCCUUCAGCAUUGGUAAAAGAAUCUGUCUUGGAGAAACUCUCGCUAAGAUGGAAUUGUUCUUAUUCUUUACGGCCAUUCUCCAGCAGUUCCAUAUCAAGGCACCAGAGGGCGACCUCAAGACCUUUGACAGAUAUACCAGCAUAGUUCGGCUAUUGAAGCCUUUUAAAAUAGUAGCCGUUGCUCGAGAUUGAACCGUAAUUGUACCAAAUCCUUCUUUAUUCAAAAUAUGGGCUUACUUGAAAAUUCGAGAGAAGGCUGUUUCACUUUUAUGUUCUAAGCUAUCCCUAAUUUAGGAGUGAAAGACUAGAGGGAAGGCAGCUAGUCAGCACAACCCACCGCCAGCUGAAA